RNAcentral lists this ribosomal RNA (1117 nucleotides) under Celithemis elisa. RNAcentral's name for it is "partial 16S ribosomal RNA". The record is from RNAcentral. Lineage: Eukaryota; Metazoa; Arthropoda; Insecta; Odonata; Libellulidae.
AUCUUUUUAUUUAGUAUUAUAUAGAAAUAUUUAUUUUUGUUAUAGUAAAAUAGUACUGUUAAGGAAUAGAUGAAAUAAUUUAAAAUCAAAUUUUUAUUAAGUAUACUUAAUUUGUAGUACCUUUUGUAUCAGGGUUAAUCAAAUAUAUUAAAUUAUGUUUAUUUCUCGAUUCYAAAAGAGCUAAUUUAUUAUUUUAGUUAAUGUUGCAUAAUUAUUAACAAUAUAUUUUAGGGGAGAAAUUUUAUUCGUUUUUGGAGGUAUCUAGUUUUUUAAGAAAUAAAUUUAAUUUAGCUUUAUUACUUAACUAUUAUAUUAUAUUUUAAGUUAUUUAAUAAUAGAAAAAUUAUAGGGGACAAGCUCUAUAUUUAUCUAAAAGGUUUUUAUUAAUAAAUUUUAGUAGGUUUAAAAUUAUCCAUCUUUAGUAAGUGUGUUAUAAUUUAUAUUUAAAAUUAAUUAAUUUUAUUGUUUUUAGUAUAUUAUUAAAAUACCAUAAUUAAUUUUUUAUUUUGGGAAAUAAUGAUUAAAUUAGUAUAAAUAUAUGUUUAUAUUUUUAUUAUAUUAAUGAUAAAAUAAGGAAUUCGGCAAAUAUAAYYSMCGCCCUGUUUAWCAAAAACAUGUCCUUUCGAAUUUAAUUUAAGGUCUGACCUGCCCAGUGAUAAGUUUAACGGCCGCGGUAUACUGACCGUGCAAAGGUAGCAUAAUCAUUAGUCUUUUAAUAGAGGGCUGGAAUGAAUGGUUUAACGAGGAAUUGACUGUCUCAUUUUAUUUGUUUUAAAAUUUAAUUUUUUAGUUAAAAAGCUAAAAUUUUGUUGGAAGACGAGAAGACCCUAUAGAUCUUUAUAUGAUUUAUUUAAUUAUUUUUAUAUUAAUAUAUUUAUGAUAAUAUCUUAUUUUGUUGGGGUGACAAAAAUAUAUAAAUAACUUUUUUAUUUAUUAAACAUUGAUAUAUGAUUAUUAGAUCCUUUAUUAAGGAUUAUUAGAACAAGUUACCUUAGGGAUAACAGCGUAAUCCUCCUCCAGAGUUCAUAUUUACAGGAUGGGCUUGCGACCUCGAUGUUGGAUUAAGAUUAUAACUAGGUGUAGCCGCUUAGUUUAUAGGUCUGUUCGACCUUUAAAU